This 497-nucleotide ribosomal RNA is filed under the name uncultured bacterium. RNAcentral describes it as "partial 16S ribosomal RNA". It matches the Rfam family "Bacterial small subunit ribosomal RNA", at positions 28 to 507 of the family's 1533-position model. The record is from RNAcentral.
GAUGAACGCUGGCGGCGUGCCUAAUACAUGCAAGUCGAGCGAACAGACGAGGAGCUUGCUCCUUUGACGUUAGCGGCGGACGUGUGAGUAACACGUGGAUAACCUACUUAUAAGACUGGGAUAACUUCGGGACACCGGCGCUUAUACCGGAGAAUAUAUUGAACCGCAUGGUUCAAUAGUGAAAGACGGUUUUGCUGUCACUUAUAGAUGGUUCCCCGCUGCAUUAGCUAGUUGUUAAGGACACGGCUUACCAAGGCAACGAGGCGUAGCCGACCGGAGAGAGGGGUCGGCCGCCCUGGAACUGAGACACGGUCCAGACUCCUACGGGAGGCAGCAGUAGGGAAUCUUCCGCAGUAGGCGAAAGCUUGACGGAGCGACGCCACGUGAGUGAUGAAGGUCUUCGGAUCGUAAAACUCUGUUAUUAGGGAAGAACAAAUGUGUAAGGAGCUAUGCACGUCUUGACGGUACCUAAUCAGAAAGCCACGGCUAACUACGUG